AAGAUGUCUUGCUAUGGUUCUUGUUGUAGUUUAAAUUAGAAAAGUUUGGCAGGUGCAAGGAAAGAUGUGGAAGUUCACGUUGAGAUAGGUGUUGUCAAGCGUAGGAAUGAAAGAUUUUUGAAUGUUUACUUCUAGUACCAUGCAAGAGGUGAUGUUAUUUUCAUGUAAGGCUCUAAUAGAAGCUUCAAAAGUGGGACUGAAUGUGAAGAGUACUUUAUAUAUUGAUAUCCAUAUUUGCAUUUGCUGAUUGUAGUUUUGUGAAGAUAAUUCAUACAACACUUUG
This 283-nucleotide unclassified non-coding RNA is filed under the name Hevea brasiliensis (rubber tree). The record is from RNAcentral. Lineage: Eukaryota; Viridiplantae; Streptophyta; Magnoliopsida; Malpighiales; Euphorbiaceae.